Long non-coding RNA from Lolium rigidum, 2367 nucleotides. RefSeq lists it as uncharacterized. Lineage: Eukaryota; Viridiplantae; Streptophyta; Magnoliopsida; Poales; Poaceae. The transcript is spliced from 3 exons. The record is from RefSeq and is a predicted model, not a curated record.
GGCCAUGUCACAGCCUCGUGCGUCCGAACACCUGCAGCCCGAACUUUUCUCGUCUCGUCUCUCGUCCUUUCACAUUCUAAUCUAAGGAUCGAGUCGUGGCUAACAACAUCACUGAACAUUGAAUCCACAGAUCCAGGUAAUGAAUUUCCUCCAUUAAUCCUGAACUCGUGUACAUCAACCGCUAGAUUUACAUUGUGUUUCAUCUUCUAGCUUAGUUGGUUACAGAAUCAAACUAAGUUGGGUCAUUAACAUGGUUAAGUUGUUUACUGAAUCUAACUAUGUUGGCUUUUCAACCUAUAAUUGUAGGUUUAUAUAUGUGUUCAUCUUCUAGCUUAGUUGGUUUUGCGAAUGUAACUAAGUUGGCUUCUGAACACUCAGUUUGUAAGUUGGUCACUGAAUCCAACUAAGUUAGUCUAUGGGUGAAACUCACAAUCAGGUUCCAUCUGGGAUAAACUUCCUUUAUUUUGCUAACAUAUGUGAUGAAAUUCCUGGAAAUAUUCAUAGGCACAUGAUCAAACUUUGUUCCUAGGUAACUAUUAUCAACAAACGCUGCAAAGCCAGGAGCACCAAGACUCCUGGCCUUUUGAGACAUUUUCUCGACUGAAGCUUUCCCAUCAAUAUAAUUAUAAGAAUAGGCACACAUGAGAAUUUUGCCGUGAACCUUCCUAUUAUUUAGGAGUUCUAGUGUUUGACAAUCUAGUGCACUGUACUUGGUUGCAGAUGAACUUAGCAGAGCAUCAGUAGCAUAAAUAAGGCUGAACGAUUUAUUUACUUCUGUUGCAGCUGUAGUCAGAUGACAGUUCUCUAGAAUAGUAGUUUUCUCACAAUGAAUUGAAAUAUCUCCCUUUUUCAUUGCUAAUGUGCGGUUAAGUUGGUUUUAAAUCUGGCUUAAGUUGGCUUCUGAACAUGGCUAAGUUUGGUUACUUAAUCUAAAUAAGUUUGCUAGUCAACAUUUUAACUUAAAGGUCAUUCUUUGUGUCUCAUCUUUUUGGAUAGUUGAUUUUCAAAUUUAGUCAAGUUGGCUUCUGAGCACCGCUAAGUUUUCUUAAUUAAUCCAACUAAGUUGGCUUCCAACAUUUUAACUUGAGUUCAUUCUUUGUAUCUCAUCUUCUAGGAUAGUUAGUUUUUAAAUUUAGUCAAGUUGGCUUCUGACCACGGCCAAGUUUGGUUACUUAAUUUAACUAAGUUGGCAGUCAAUAUUUUAACUUGAGGUCAUUCUUUGUAUGUCGUUUUCUGGGAUAGUUUGUUUUUAAAUUUAGUCAAGUUAGUUUUUGAGCACACAGAUAAGUUUGGUUACUUAAUUUAGCUAAGUUGCCAGACAACAUUUAACUUGAGGUUAUUCUUUGUGUCUCAUCUUCUAGAAUAUUUAGCUUCUAAAUUUAAUUAAAUUGUCUUCUAAAUAUGGCUAAGUUUGCUUGCUUAAUCAACCUAAGUUGAUUUGUUAACAUUUUAGCUUGGGGUUUAUUUUUGUGUUUUUUAGGAUAGUUGGUUUUUAAUUUAAUCAAGUUGGCUUCUAAAUGCGGCUAAAUUUGCUUACUUAAUACCUAAGUUGGCUAGUCAAUAUUUUACAUGAGGUUUAUUCUUUAUGUCUUGUCUUUCUAGGAUAAUUGGUUAUUCUUUUGUGUUCUUUUUUCCUAUCUUCGUUCUUUUUGAUCUGGGGAAGUUGCAAGCUUCAAUUUUGUUGGGUAUAGGUGUUUCUUUUGAGCAACAUGCAUAAGUUGUCUAGCGAUUUAGUUAAGUUGUUUUAUAACUAUGUUUAAGUUGAGUAUUUUUUUAGUUUCAUUGUCAACAUGCUUAAGUUGAAACGAAAAUUAAUUAAGUUGUUCUUCCAGCAUGCUUAAGUUGUGUGGGUAUCUACAAUCUACUUUGGUUUUGGUUUCCGAGCAACAUGCAUAAGUUGGUCAUUGGUCUAAUUAAGUUGCCUUCUCAACAUGCUUAAGGUGCUUAUUUGUGAUAUUGUUAAGUUGUACCGGGGAGCGGUGGAUCUUGGGUGGGGUAGCUAGUACCAUCUCCAGCGCGGUAGUGGAGGAGGCCAUGGCGCCUAGCUCGAGCACGUGGCGGCGCCCAUGAUGCCUAGCAUGAGCGCAAGCCCGUCUUGGUUGCUGGCCAGCGAGAUCAUGUGUUGUUUUGUGAUCUACUCGCAGUUUUCAGUCAAAUCCAGAUUUCAUGGAGUUCUCGAGGAGGAAGAAGACCUGGAGUAGUUCGUCUUGCAGAAAGGAAGAAGCCCUGAAGUAGUCCGUCUUGCAGAAAGGAAGAAGAGCCAGAGUAGUUCGCCAAGCGCAUCUCACACGCUACUGUCUGUUGUUCCUUUUACCUUGUGUAACCUCCCUUUUCCUUGGUUGGAUGUUUAAUUAGACAAACCAGCAC